RNAcentral lists this ribosomal RNA (164 nucleotides) under Elaeagia mariae. RNAcentral's name for it is "5.8S ribosomal RNA". It matches the Rfam family "5.8S ribosomal RNA". Rfam says of the family: 5.8S ribosomal RNA (5.8S rRNA) is a component of the large subunit of the eukaryotic ribosome. It is transcribed by RNA polymerase I as part of the 45S precursor that also contains 18S and 28S rRNA. The record is from RNAcentral. RNAcentral also lists the same sequence under 1 other name. Lineage: Eukaryota; Viridiplantae; Streptophyta; Magnoliopsida; Gentianales; Rubiaceae.
AAAACGACUCUCGGCAACGGAUAUCUCGGCUCUCGCAUCGAUGAAGAACGUAGCGAAAUGCGAUACUUGGUGUGAAUUGCAGAAUCCCGUGAACCAUCGAGUCUUUGAACGCAAGUUGCGCCCGAAGCCAUCAGGUGGAGGGCACGCCUGCCUGGGCGUCACGC